UCUGUUAUUGGAUAUAACUCUAUACUGUAUAGACUAUAGAUAAUAUAGAUCUGUUAUUGGAUAUAACUCUAUACUGUAUAGACUAUAGAUAAUAUAGAUCUGUUAUUGGAUAUAACUCUAUACUGUAUAGACUAUAGAUAAUAUAGAUCUGUUAUUGGAUAUAACUCUAUACUGUAUAGACUAUAGAUAAUAUAGAUCUGUUAUUGGAUAUAACUCUAUACUGUAUAGACUAUAGAUAAUAUAGAUCUGUUAUUGGAUAUAACUCUAUACUGUAUAGAUAAUAUAGAUCUGUUAUUGGAUAUAACUCUAUACUGUAUGGCUCAGAUGAACUCUCACUGUUAUUCACUGUCUCAGUUUACGUCCCAAAUGGCACACUAUUCAGUGCCCUACUUUUGACCAAGACCUAUAGGGCUCUGGUCAAAAGGUAGUGCACUAGAGAAGGAUCCAAUCAAAUGUAUUUAUAAAGCCCUUCGUACAUCAGCUGAUAUCUCAAAGUGCUGUACAGAAACCCAGCCUAAAACCCCCAAACAGCCAGCAAUGCAGGUGUAGAAGCACGGUGGAGCAUUACGGCCUAAAACCCCCAAACAGUAAGCAAUGCAGGUGUAGAAGCACUGUGGAGCAUUACGGCCUAAAACCCCCAAACAGCAAGCAAUGCAGGUGUAGAAGCACUGUGGAGCAUUACGGCCUAAAACCCCCAAACAGGAAGCAAUGCAGGUGUAGAAGCACUGUGGAGCAUUACGGCCUAAAACCCCCAAACAGCCAGUAAUGCAGGUGUAGAAGCACGGUGGAGCAUUACGGCCUAAAACCCCCAAACAGCCAGCAAUGCAGGUGUAGAAGCACUGUGGAGCAUUACGGCCUAAAACCCCCAAACAGGAAGCAAUGCAGGUGUAGAAGCACUGUGGAGCAUUACGGCCUAAAACCCCCCAAACAGGAAGCAAUGCAGGUGUAGAAGCACUGUGGAGCAUUACGGCCUAAAACCCCCAAACAGCAAGCAAUGCAGGUGUAGAAGCACGGUGGAGCAUUACGGCCUAAAACCCCCAAACAGCAAGCAAUGCAGGUGUAGAAGCACGGUGGAGCAUUACGGCCUAAAACCCCCAAACAGCCAGCAAUGCAGGUGUAGAAGCACGGUGGAGCAUUACGGCCUAAAACCCCCAAACAGCCAGCAAUGCAGGUGUAGAAGCACUGUGGAGCAUUACGGCCUAAAACCCCCAAACAGGAAGCAAUGCAGGUGUAGAAGCACUGUGGAGCAUUACGGCCUAAAACCCCCAAACAGCAAGCAAUGCAGGUGUAGAAGCACUGUGGAGCAUUACGGCCUAAAACCCCCAAACAGCAAGCAAUGCAGGUGUAGAAGCACUGUGGAGCAUUACGGCCUAAAACCCCCAAACAGCAAGCAAUGCAGGUGUAGAAGCACUGUGGAGCAUUACGGCCUAAAACCCCCCAAACAGGAAGCAAUGCAGGUGUAGAAGCACUGUGGAGCAUUACGGCCUAAAACCCCCAAACAGGAAGCAAUGCAGGUGUAGAAGCACUGUGGAGCAUUACGGCCUAAAACCCCCCAAACAGGAAGCAAUGCAGGUGUAGAAGCACUGUGGAGCAUUACGGCCUAAAACCCCCAAACAGGAAGCAAUGCAGGUGUAGAAGCACUGUGGAGCAUUACGGCCUAAAACCCCCAAACAGGAAGCAAUGCAGGUGUAGAAGCACUGUGGAGCAUUACGGCCUAAAACCCCCAAACAGCCAGCAAUGCAGGUGUAGAAGCACGGUGGAGCAUUACGGCCUAAAACCCCCAAACAGCCAGCAAUGCAGGUGUAGAAGCACUGUGGAGCAUUACGGCCUAAAACCCCCAAACAGGAAGCAAUGCAGGUGUAGAAGCACUGUGGAGCAUUACGGCCUAAAACCCCCAAACAGCAAGCAAUGCAGGUGUAGAAGCACUGUGGAGCAUUACGGCCUAAAACCCCCAAACAGCAAGCAAUGCAGGUGUAGAAGCACUGUGGAGCAUUACGGCCUAAAACCCCCAAACAGCAAGCAAUGCAGGUGUAGAAGCACUGUGGAGCAUUACGGCCUAAAACCCCCAAACAGCAAGCAAUGCAGGUGUAGAAGCACUGUGGAGCAUUACGGCCUAAAACCCCCAAACAGCAAGCAAUGCAGGUGUAGAAGCACUGUGGAGCAUUACGGCCUAAAACCCCCAAACAGCAAGCAAUGCAGGUGUAGAAGCACUGUGGAGCAUUACGGCCUAAAACCCCCAAACAGCAAGCAAUGCAGGUGUAGAAGCACUGUGGAGCAUUACGGCCUAAAACCCCCAAACAGCAAGCAAUGCAGGUGUAGAAGCACGGUGGAGCAUUACGGCCUAAAACCCCCAAACAGCAAG
Molecule: long non-coding RNA, 2362 nt
Organism: Oncorhynchus keta (chum salmon)
Lineage: Eukaryota; Metazoa; Chordata; Actinopteri; Salmoniformes; Salmonidae
Exons: 5
Source: RefSeq, a predicted model, not a curated record